The sequence is a regulatory RNA element, 103 nucleotides long. It matches the Rfam family "Pyrrolysine insertion sequence mttB". The record is from Rfam.
UAGGCAGAUGCCAAAGUACCCGAUCAACAAGCAGCCCACGAAAAAACCCUAACAACGCUGCUACCAGCACUCGAAGCCGAAGGAAGAAGCAUCUACGGAUUCG